UGUUUACACGGGGUGGAAGAGCCACUUUCAAGUUCUCUGGAUGAGGUUGAUGAGAUCACUUCCUCCAGGGUUUGGGGUAAACAAAUUGGAUAAAGAAAACCCCUCUAAAAAUGCUGUCCUCUGACACCAUCUUCCAUAAUUUAGGAGUAGGUGGAAGGAGAUCAAAGAUUAAUGUAUUCCAAAAAUGUAAAUCCAAAUGUGUAGAACCCAGAAGUCAACGGAAGUCACUGUGUUGCUUAAGAUACAGAUAAGAUGGGCUUCUACCCGCCACGUCGUCAUUCCGUGUGAUAGAAGGAGUUUGUGCCUGCACCUGACUCUUUUUUCUACUAAAGUUCCCAGGAGGCCCUGUUUUUUUCAGUACCUGUACCAGUCAGCAUUCUCCAGAGAAAUAGAACCAAUAGGAUGGAUUUCUACACCAGUCGAUUUUUAAGUAUUUCUGCUCCCAGCUGUGGGCCACCCUGCAGGGACAGUGAAUCCACAAGCCAGUACCGCAUAGGGUACUGCCAGGAGACCAGGCAUGUGACCGAAGCUUGGCCAAGUAGACUCGCUACACCAGUGUUUUGGCCUUUCAGCAAGGAAAGAGGAAACGACUAGUGGCCCAACAGAAUAUAAUUCAAGUCACCAUCGCAAGCUACACAUACAACUUUGAAUUUUCUAAUAGCUACCAAACAAGGAUUCCAUACUCAAAGGAAAAAGUGUCUAAUAAGCUUAUGUCGGCUCAUAGGCCCAUCCCUUAAUCAAGAAAGGCAAGAGACUCUCUCCAGCAAGAUGUGAAAUACAUACCAAAUGCAAACUGCAGUGUGCAAACCUUCUGGCAGAGAUCACGUGGGCAGCAUCCAACAAAUAACCUCAUGAGUUAAAUAUUUGCACAACAGACUUUUUCAAGAACGUUCGGGGAGGACAGUUGUACCACCUGCUGCCAUUCCAGAGCGGCUCCUCACCCAGUUCGCAUUUCCCUUUCCCUGUCUGGCACACGGCAGCACCGAGCAACAUCCAAGGACACCAGCAUUCACCCCACGGAAGGUUCCGAUGGGCUUACUGUCCUCCUGGUUUCAGCAGUUGGUAAGCCCUCCCCUGUUGACUUUUUAUUAAUGAACUCAGAAAACUGGCUGCUACCAUUCAUUCAUUCACUCAGCCAUCCUCCAGAGAGGUCCAGAUCGCAAACAUUCUGAAAUGUUCAAAAGCUUCAGCAGUCUCACAUGCAUCGGAAGAAUCCUUGCCCCCUUACCUUGGGCAUGAGCCCCACGUUGCCGGCAAGCCUUUGU
Canis lupus familiaris (dog) is the source of this 1265-nucleotide long non-coding RNA. RefSeq lists it as uncharacterized. The transcript has 5 exons. NCBI's taxonomy places the organism in Eukaryota, Metazoa, Chordata, Mammalia, Carnivora, Canidae. The record is from RefSeq and is a predicted model, not a curated record.